Molecule: long non-coding RNA, 676 nt
Organism: Micropterus dolomieu (smallmouth bass)
Lineage: Eukaryota; Metazoa; Chordata; Actinopteri; Centrarchiformes; Centrarchidae
Exons: 3
Source: RefSeq, a predicted model, not a curated record
UUACCUCAAACUAAAAUGUCUCCUUGUGUCCUGAUUUCUAGGAUUGCUCGUUUUUCCAAUGUUCAGCACCUCUCCAUCCACAUCUCAAAGAACUUCGGAGCAGAGAGCACCAGGGUCUACUACAUCGGUCUGAGGGGAGAAUACACGGAGGCUCACAGACACGAAGUGACGAUCUGUAACUACGAGGCAGCAGCAAACCCUGCAGAUCACAAAGUGGAGAGCAUCAUCCCGCAAACUAACUUCAUCUCCUGAACGCUUCAGAGAGGGAGAGAGAGAGAGAGAGGAGGAGGAGGAGGAGGAGGAGGAGAAGGAGAAGGAGAAGGAGAAGAGGUUUCAGUGGCAUCUGCUUGACAGUGGUCAAAAAGUCGAUGUUGAAGAUUCAACGCUGCGUACCGGCAGGUUGGUUGAGCUCAACCGGGACUGAGCACAGAAACCUGAAGAGCAGAGAGCUUCAGAUGUGUCUGGAAGUGCCGAGUUGUUGCUCUGAUUUCUAUGGCAAUAAAGAGUGAAUGCUUAAUGUGGGCAAAAAGCUUAAUAAUAAACGCAUGAAACAUUUGACACUCAGAUAACUUCUGUUGUUAACCAGUUUAACUCCUAUACUCUAAAUCAUGUCUAAAGAUACACUUCACUAAUGUGACAGCUACUCUUAAAUAAAACACUGAAGGCUGGAAUUAAA